Molecule: ribosomal RNA, 753 nt
Filed under: Euryhaliotrema triangulovagina
Lineage: Eukaryota; Metazoa; Platyhelminthes; Monogenea; Dactylogyridea; Ancyrocephalidae
Description: eukaryotic LSU rRNA
Rfam family: Eukaryotic large subunit ribosomal RNA
Source: RNAcentral
UCCGGCGUCUUUGGCAUACAGGCCCAUGUGGUGUUUAAGCUAGUACCUGGGGCUGCCAGUCUACCCGAAGUCCAACUCCGAUUGUGGCUUUGGAUUUUGCCCAUGGCGGGUGAUAGGCCCGUACGGGUAGGCUAUUGUUGGUUUUGUGUGGCCUUCAGAUGUGCUUGCUUUCGAGUCGGAUUGCUUGAGAAUGCAGUCCAAAGUGGGUGGUAAACUCCAUCCAAGGCUAAAUACUGGCACGAGUCCGAUAGUAGACAAGUACCGUGAGGGAAAGUUGAAAAGUACUCUGAAGAGAGAGUAAAUAGUACGUGAAGCCGGUUGCAGAGAAGCUGGUGGAAUCAAGCUUCAUGCUUGAGAGAUUUGUGUCUGUGGCAUUGCAUUGUUGUGAUAUUGGAGCUGAUCAACUUGGAAUAAGUUGGGCGCAUUCGUGUGCUUCAAGUCAUUCUGGGGGGCUGUGUGUUUGUGUUGGCUUCAUGACUCUGUUGCAGGCACUCUAUCUCUCGCUGCAUAGAUCACGGUCAAUAGCGUUGCUCGCGUGCUGUAUGGUUGUCUAACUGUGCUUUGUCAGGCUUAAUGGUUUGUCGGGUGCAGGAUGGCAGGUGGUGCCUACAAAUCUCGUGUUUGUAGGCACUUAUUGUGGUUUAGACCAGCUGAUGACCAUGCAGUGUCGUUGCUAUUGUUGUUACUCGAUGCUUUGUCUUAGGACAUGGUAUUGGUGAGAACCGUGAUUCUGAGGUAGAUUUUCCACCCGAC